UACGUAGGGUGCAAGCGUUGUCCGGAAUUAUUGGGCGUAAAGAGCUCGUAGGCGGUUUGUCGCGUCUGCUGUGAAAACCCGAGGCUCAACCUCGGGCCUGCAGUGGGUACGGGCAGACUAGAGUGCGGUAGGGGAGAUUGGAAUUCCUGGUGUAGCGGUGGAAUGCGCAGAGUAUCAGGAGGAACACCAAUGGCGAAGGCAGAUCUCUGGGCCGUAACUGACGCUGAGGAGCGAAAGCAUGGGGAGCGAACAGG
Molecule: ribosomal RNA, 254 nt
Filed under: uncultured bacterium
Lineage: Bacteria
Description: partial 16S ribosomal RNA
Rfam family: Bacterial small subunit ribosomal RNA
Source: RNAcentral